AAAUUGAAGAGUUUGAUCAUGGCUCAGAUUGAACGCUGGCGGCAGGCCUAACACAUGCAAGUCGAACGGUAACAGGAAACAGCUUGCUGUUUCGCUGACGAGUGGCGGACGGGUGAGUAAUGUCUGGGAAACUGCCCGAUGGAGGGGGAUAACUACUGGAAACGGUAGCUAAUACCGCAUAACGUCGCAAGACCAAAGAGGGGGACCUUCGGGCCUCUUGCUAUCGGAUGUGCCCAGAUGGGAUUAGCUAGUAGGUGGGGUAACGGCUCACCUAGGCGACGAUCCCUAGCUGGUCUGAGAGGAUGACCAGCCACACUGGAACUGAGACACGGUCCAGACUCCUACGGGAGGCAGCAGUGGGGAAUAUUGCACAAUGGGCGCAAGCCUGAUGCAGCCAUGCCGCGUGUAUGAAGAAGGCCUUCGGGUUGUAAAGUACUUUCAGCGGGGAGGAAGGGAGUAAAGUUAAU
This 467-nucleotide ribosomal RNA is filed under the name Shigella flexneri. Its description in RNAcentral is "bacterial SSU rRNA". It matches the Rfam family "Bacterial small subunit ribosomal RNA", at positions 1 to 464 of the family's 1533-position model. The record is from RNAcentral. Lineage: Bacteria; Pseudomonadati; Pseudomonadota; Gammaproteobacteria; Enterobacterales; Enterobacteriaceae.